Long non-coding RNA from Athalia rosae (coleseed sawfly), 1570 nucleotides. RefSeq lists it as uncharacterized. The record is from RefSeq and is a predicted model, not a curated record. NCBI's taxonomy places the organism in Eukaryota, Metazoa, Arthropoda, Insecta, Hymenoptera, Athaliidae. The transcript is spliced from 8 exons.
UUGCGCAUAGUCCCCUAAUUUCAAAAUGGACCCCGCCACCGGAUUGAACGUGAAUCAAAUUGGCAGAGCAGAUAUCAAUUUAAACGGGUUAAUUAAUAAUAUAUUGGGACGGAUAAAGAUUAUUUAUACAGCAGUGCAUUGAGAAUAGUUUGGAAAUCAACGGUAUGGCACUGCGAGUAUAUCACGUUAUUUUGCGAAUGCUCAACCUCUACUCUAAUGAUUGAAUGACAGCUCCCAGACGAUUGCACCAGAUGAGAUUCCUAUGCGUGCUGACACUUAAUUAUACAAUUAGUAAAGUGAAUACUACUGGAAGUAAAUGUCACCAUUUUAGAGUAAUAGAAUCAAAGUGCAUCCUCAAGAGCAGAGGGGCUAGACUGACAGCCAGAACAUUGGAUUCAAUCUAGAGGAGAGUCCUAUCAUACUUGGUUGUUUUUUGAAAUAAAUACCUGAAGAGUUGAUCACUGCUAUUCGUUUCAAUCUUCCAGGUCGAACAGUAUUCGUCCCAGGGGAGACUGCAAAGUUGAAACGACAGAGUCCUUGCGGUAUACGUCAGAUGUUAUUAUUACACCUCUGCGUACUUUAACAGACAGUCAGUGCAGAUGUUUGCCGGGCCAGGUCCAGCUGCCCAACCCAAGCAUAUUGUUGCUCUACUUUUGGAAACGACAUAGAGAGUUUGAGGGGAAGAAAUCAUACUUCCUAGUACAUGUACCUACUCAAGAACUGCAGUCAUUCCAUGGACUGAGAUGCGAAUCAGUUGGAGGCUUGUGGGCCUAUACAAAGAGAAUUAUAAGCACGGGAUCCGUAAUGCGUGCAUCAACUUGCAUAGAUCUUAGACCUUUCAAGCAUACUAUUAUGCCAAUUCGGAUUCUUGAGAUCAAAAUACAUGAGGAUAGCGGGACGAACCCUUCCACAAAAAAUCUGAAUCUUCAUCUCAGAUUUUGACAAAAUUCCAAGGCUAUAGGCUUACUGUUUUUCCCGGCAAAAAAGUGGAGUAUCCCUCAGAAUGAUUCCAGGACGCUUCUCCUAUGUAGAAAAGCGUUCCGAACAAGAAGCCGCCAAUCAAAUUAAGCUGGCAUUCGGAUUCCUGAGAUCAAAAUACAUGAGGAUAGCGGGACGAACCCUUCCACAAAAAAUCUGAAUCUUCAUCUCAGAUUUUGACAAAAUUCCAAGGCUAUAGGCUUACUGUUUUUCCCGGCAAAAAAGUGGAGUAUCCCUCAGAAUGAUUCCAGGACGCUUCUCCUAUGUAGAAAAGCGUUCCGAACAAGAAGCCGCCAAUCAAAUUAAGCUGGCAGAUAUUCUGCUUGCAGAUUCGGAUUCCUGAGAUCAAAAUACAUGAGGAUAGCGGGACGAACCCUUCCACAAAAAAUCUGAAUCUUCAUCUCAGAUUUUGACAAAAUUCCAAGGCUAUAGGCUUACUGUUUUUCCCGGCAAAAAAGUGGAGUAUCCCUCAGAAUGAUUCCAGGACGCUUCUCCUAUGUAGAAAAGCGUUCGGAACAAGAAGCCGCCAAUCAAAUUAAGCUGGCAUUCGGAUUCCUGAGAUCAAAAUACAUCGGAAUAACAUAGAAAUUCU